Molecule: ribosomal RNA, 448 nt
Filed under: uncultured bacterium
Lineage: Bacteria
Description: SSU rRNA
Rfam family: Bacterial small subunit ribosomal RNA
Source: RNAcentral
AGAGCGAACGCUGGCGGCAGGCUUAACACAUGCAAGUCGAGCGGGCGUAGCAAUACGUCAGCGGCAGACGGGUGAGUAACGCGUGGGAACGUACCUUUUGGUUCGGAACAACCCAGGGAAACUUGGGCUAAUACCGGAUAAGCCCUUACGGGGAAAGAUUUAUCGCCGAAAGAUCGGCCCGCGUCUGAUUAGCUAGUUGGUGAGGUAAUGGCUCACCAAGGCGACGAUCAGUAGCUGGUCUGAGAGGAUGAUCAGCCACAUUGGGACUGAGACACGGCCCAAACUCCUACGGGAGGCAGCAGUGGGGAAUAUUGGACAAUGGGCGCAAGCCUGAUCCAGCCAUGCCGCGUGAGUGAUGAAGGCCCUAGGGUUGUAAAGCUCUUUCGCACGCGAGGAUGAUGACGCUAGCGUGAGAAGAAGCCCCGGCUAACUUCGCGCCAGCAGCCGC